UACGUAGGUGGCAGGCGUUAUCCGGAUUUACUGGGCGUAAAGAGCGCGCAGGCGGUCGUUCAAGUCGCGUGUGAAAGCCCCCGGCUCAACUGGGGAGGGUCACGCGAUACUGAUCGACUGGAAGGCAGGAGAGGGUAGUGGAAUUCCCGGUGUAGUGGUGAAAUGCGUAGAUAUCGGGAGGAACACCAGUGGCGAAGGCGACUACCUGGCCUGUUCUUGACGCUGAGGCGCGAAAGCUAGGGGAGCAAACGGG
This 253-nucleotide ribosomal RNA is filed under the name uncultured bacterium. Its description in RNAcentral is "partial 16S ribosomal RNA". It matches the Rfam family "Bacterial small subunit ribosomal RNA", at positions 524 to 776 of the family's 1533-position model. The record is from RNAcentral.